GGGUAAUUUAUUAAACAGUUUUUAUGGUAUAAUUUGAAUUUUUUUUUUUUAUAUUUUCUUAUUUUCGUAAAAAAAAAAUUAAUAUGAAAUGUUUAAAUAUAAUUAUAUUUUGUUCUUUAUGGAAUAAAUUAUUCAAAAUUUUAUACGCUUAAAUAUAAUAUGUUAAGACUUAAUAAAUAUAUAUAUAUAUAUAUCAAUAUAUGUUUUGUAUAAAAAUUACAUGUUCAGCUUAAAAAAUUAAAGCGAUGUUUUUGUAAUAGUUAUAAUUCUUUUUUUUUUUUUUUUUUGAUGUCCUCUUUAAGUACACAACUGAUUUUAUUUAUAGUUUUAAAGACCAAGAAUAAUUUACACCUGAGUAAAAAGAAAUAACCCUGAAUAUAUUAAAAUGUCCUACUUUUAUAUAUAUUUAAAAUAUAUAUAAUAUAACGCUGAAUUAUUAAAAGAGAAAAUAAAGAAACUAAAUGAAAAUAAAUUAAAAUAAAAUAAAAUAAAAGAUGAAAAAUGUAAAUAAGAGAAAAGAAAAGGGGGAAUGUUUUAAAAUUACAUAUAAUCAACUAUUAAAAUAUAUAUAUAUAUAUAUAUAUAUAUAUAUGCAUAUAUAUAUGAAUGAGGCCCCUUUCAUUUCACUAAAUAUUUAUAUAUAUUUUUGUUUUCCAUAUUAAAUAUAUAAUAAAUAAAAUAAAUUCUUUUAUAAUCUUAAUUUUCUUACUAAACUUUUUAUACGUAAUAUAAAUUACAACUAAGGUCUAUAUUAUUAUGAAUUGUUAUUCAUAUAUAUAUAUAUAUAUAUAUAUAUAUAUAUAUAUAUAUAUAUAUAUAUAUGUAUGCAUGUAUGUAUGUAUAUAUGUAUGUAUGUAUAUAUGUAUGUAUGUAUCUAUGUAUGUAUGUAUCUAUGUAUGUAUGUAUCUAUGUAUGUAUGUAUCUAUGUAUGUAUGUAUAUAUGUAUGUAUUUAUUACUUUAAAAGGGUUAUAUUUUAUGAUUUUGACUUUAUUUUAAUAUAUAUAUAUAUAAUAUGUAUUUACAAAUAUAGAUAGAAAAUAUUAGACACAUAAACUUAUGUAUAUAUAUACAGGUUUAUAUAUAAUAAGAUUAAAAUAUUCUAGUAUAUGUAUAUUUAUAUAUAAGUCUAUAUGAGUAAACAUAUCAACCUAUAUAUAUUAAAAAAAAUAUAUACUAAUAUUUAUCUUUAUAUAUAUGAACAUAAAUAUAUGCAAAUAUUUAUAUACUUAAGUAUAUAUAUAUAUAUAUAUACAAAAAUAUAUAUAAUCACAUAUAUAUACAUAUAACCAUAAACAUUAAAAAAUAUUUAUGUACUUGGAUGUGUAUAUAUGAAAAUAUACAAAUAAAUAUAUAUAAACAAAAAUUAACAUAGACAUAAUAACAAAUAAAUAUAUAUAAAUAAAUAUUAAAAUAUACAUAAUAACAAAUAAAUAUUAAUAUAUAUAUAUAAAAACAAAUAAAUAUAUUUAUAUAAAUGCAUAUAUAUAUAUAUAUGUGUGUACGUACACGCUUAUCAAAUAAAUAUGUCAUAUAUACAUGAUAUUAUAAACAUUAAUAUAUAAAUUCAAAAAAAAUAUAUAUAUAUAUAUAUAUCAUAUAUUUAUCAUUUAUAUGUAUAAAUUUAUAUACGUAAAAUGUUUUUUAUAUAUUUUUUCUUUUUUUUAUGUUUUUUUUUUUUAUUAACAAAUAAUUAGAUAUAAAAGAAAUUUUAGUUACAUUCAAUUAAAAGAAGAAAAUAAUAAUAAUAUUAAUUGAUUUUAUUUAGUACUAUAUAUAGUUUAUCUGUUAGAAUAAAUAUAUUUAAAACAUAUAAUAAAUGAAAAAUUUAAAAAAAUAUAUAUAUAUUUGUUAUAAAAAAUUAUAAUAAACUAAACAAAACGUGCGUGCAUAUGUAAUAUACAUUAUUUUAUUAAAGAUGUAAUUUAAUAUCAAAAUUAAUAAUAUAGUUUAUUAUCCAGUUAAUGUUUUAAGAAUAUGGUAACUUAAAGAAUUUACUAUUUUAAGAAUUAUAUGAUUUAAGAAUAUUCGAGCGAUCGAAUUAUCGAAAUAAUGAACCAAAUCAAAAAAAAAAAAAAAAAAAAAAAAAAACUAAAUACAAAAUACAAAAUACAAAAUACAAAAUAUAUAUUAAAAGGGAUUUACAUAAGAAAAAGAAAUGAUAUGUGUGUCAUAAUGGUGUAGUUAUCAAAAUAAUUUUUUUUUUUUGGUUAUAUUAAUGUUAUUAUUUAUAAAUAAUUAUUUUUUUUUUUUUUUUAUACAUGCCCAUUUCGUGUCUUUUUUUUAGAAAUAUAUCUUUUGUAAUAUUUGUUAUUUAUAUAUAAUUUACUUAAUGUGUUUAUUAUACAAUAGUUUUGUUAGUUGCAACUAAUUCUAGAAGACAUAACAUGAACAUAUUAUAAAUUUUAUAUAAUCAACAUGGAUUAUUUAUUACUUGAAUGUGUCCUUAAAUUAUGGAUGAUCCUAAUAUUAUAUAACUUAAAUUAAUCACUUAAGACGUUUAAAUUUUAUAUACAUUAUUCAAAAUAAUAUGACGUAUCCAUAUUUUCUUUAGGAAUAUAUAUAUAUAUAUAAGAACCCUUCUUAUAUUAUAUAAUAAUGUAAUUUCUUGUUAAAACAGAAAAGGAAAUAAAUGUACAUAUAUUUAAGUAAGAAAAAAAAAGUAUAUAUAUAUAUAUUAUAUAUAUAUAUAUAUAUAAUUUAAGAAUCUGUAAUUUAUUAUGUUAGUUUAUUCUGUAAUUUUUUAUAUGUAACACAUAUAUGUCUUUGACUUAGCUAUAUAUAUAUAUUAGAAAUUAUUUUGUUUAGUAUAAUACUAAUUAAUAAAUAUAAAAUAUUAUAAUAAAAUGUUAGGCUAUAGUUGUAUUAUCUUUAUAUCAAUGUCAUAUUUCCCUAUGAUUAUCCCAAUAAAAUUCAAAUAACUUAUAUGUUGUAAAAUAUAGUAUCUUAGAACAUAUAACAUUUAAGAAUAAAAAAACAAAAUUAACAAAUUUAAAUACUUAUUUAUUUAUAGUUUUUUAUGUUAUUAUAUGUUGUAAAACAUCAGUAUUCUUAACGAAUUAAUAGACACAUCUAAGUUCAUUUAAGAAGAGAUAUAUUUUUAGUUACUUUAUAAUUAUUCAUUAUAUUUUUUUCUUUUUUUUUUUUUUUUUUUUACUUAAUACAUAUAAUUGCAUUUUAUUUAAAAAUAUAACAACAUUUAAGAAUUUUGAUUUAUAUAAGAAAUAUUUUGCCUUACACAGUUUCUCUUUAUCUUAAUUUUUAUUUUCUUUCAUUCCUUAUUUAUUAUUUAUUCUUUAUAUAUAUUAUAUAUUAUUCCAUUCCCUAUUUAAUAUUACAUUUAUUUAAAAAUAUAAGUGGAA
Non-coding RNA from Plasmodium falciparum 3D7, 3360 nucleotides. The record is from RefSeq and is a predicted model, not a curated record. NCBI's taxonomy places the organism in Eukaryota, Apicomplexa, Aconoidasida, Haemosporida, Plasmodiidae.